CUUUUUGGCGGCCGUGUGCGGGAGACAUUCGUGUCUGCCGAGUUGUCUCUGUCUCGGUUUCCAGCCUGCGCACGGCUGCCACCCAU
RNAcentral lists this non-coding RNA (86 nucleotides) under Pseudomonas salomonii. The record is from RNAcentral. Lineage: Bacteria; Pseudomonadati; Pseudomonadota; Gammaproteobacteria; Pseudomonadales; Pseudomonadaceae.